AAUGUUGAAUUUGAAAUGAGUUAUGCGCCUUUAAAGUAGGAGAUGAGAAAUGGAGAGACAGCAGAGAAGCAGACAGUCGGUUUCUCUGCCGUCUCUCGCUCUCUCACCUCCAACUUUAAAGGCGCAUAACUCGCUUCAAAAUGAAGGUU
This 149-nucleotide small RNA is filed under the name Caenorhabditis brenneri. RNAcentral's name for it is "sRNA CBN34305". Lineage: Eukaryota; Metazoa; Nematoda; Chromadorea; Rhabditida; Rhabditidae. The record is from RNAcentral.